RNAcentral lists this ribosomal RNA (253 nucleotides) under uncultured bacterium. RNAcentral's name for it is "partial 16S ribosomal RNA". It matches the Rfam family "Bacterial small subunit ribosomal RNA", at positions 524 to 776 of the family's 1533-position model. The record is from RNAcentral.
UACGGGGGGGGCAAGCGUUGUUCGGAAUUACUGGGCGUAAAGGGCUCGUAGGCGGCCAACUAAGUCAGACGUGAAAUCCCUCGGCUUAACCGGGGAACUGCGUCUGAUACUGGAUGGCUUGAGUUUGGGAGAGGGAUGCGGAAUUCCAGGUGUAGCGGUGAAAUGCGUAGAUAUCUGGAGGAACACCCGUAGCGAAGGCGGCAUCCUGGACCAUUACUGACACUGAAAAGCGAAAGCCAGGGGAGCAAACGGG